GGUCUGAGAGGAUGAUCCCCCACACUGGUACUGAGACACGGACCAGACUCCUACGGGAGGCAGCAGUGAGGAAUAUUGCGCAAUGGAGGAAACUCUGACGCAGCCAUCCCGCGUGCAGGAUUGACGGCCCUAUGGGUUGUAAACUGCUUUUCUAUACCAAGAAACACCGAUACCGUGUAUCGGGUUUGCCGGUAGUAUAGGAAUAAGCAUCGGGCUAACUCCGUGCCCAGCAGCCGCGGUAAUACGGAGGAUGCACGCGUUAUCCCGGAAUCACUGGGUUUAAAGGGUGCGCAGGCGGUAUAGUAAGUCAGAGGUGAAAAGCCCACAGCUCAAACUGUGGAAUUGCCUUUGAUACUGUUAUUCUUGAGUGUAGUUGUAGUUAGGCGGAAUAUAGCAUGUAGCGGUGAAAUGCAUAGAUAUGCUAUAGAACACCAAUUGCGAAGGCAGCUUGCUAAACUAUAACUGACGCUGAGGCACGAAAGCGUGGGGAGCGAACAGGAUUAGAUACCCUGGUAGUCCACGCCGUAAACUAUGAACACUCGCUGUUGGCAAUACACAGUCAGCGGCUGAGCGAAAGCGUUAAGUGUUCCACCUGGGAAGUACGAUCGCAAGGUUGAAACUCAAAGGAAUUGACGGGGGCCCGCACAAGCGGAGGAGCAUGUGGUUUAAUUCGAUGAUACGCGAGGAACCUUACCUGGGCUUAAAUGUAUAUUGACGUACUGAGAAAUCAGUAUUUCUUCGGACAAUUUACAAGGUGCUGCAUGGUUGUCGUCAGCUCGUGCCGUGAGGUGUCGGGUUAAGUCCCAUAACGAGCGCAACCCCUACUUCUAGUUACCAGCAUUUCGGAUGGGGACUCUAGAGGAACUGCCUACGCAAGUAGAGAGGAAGGUGGGGAUGACGUCAAAUCAGCACGGCCUUUAUGUCCAGGACUACACACGUGCUACAAUGGCCGGUACAGAGGACAGCUACAUAGCAAUAUGAUGCU
RNAcentral lists this ribosomal RNA (985 nucleotides) under uncultured organism. RNAcentral's name for it is "bacterial SSU rRNA". It matches the Rfam family "Bacterial small subunit ribosomal RNA", at positions 289 to 1269 of the family's 1533-position model. The record is from RNAcentral.